This 403-nucleotide ribosomal RNA is filed under the name uncultured bacterium. RNAcentral describes it as "bacterial SSU rRNA". It matches the Rfam family "Bacterial small subunit ribosomal RNA", at positions 362 to 758 of the family's 1533-position model. The record is from RNAcentral.
UAUUGCACAAUGGGCGCAAGCCUGAUGCAGCCAUGCCGCGUGUGUGAAGAAGGCCUUCGGGUUGUAAAGCACUUUCAGUAAGGAGGAAAGGAUAGUCUUUAAUAGAGGUUAUCUGUGACGUUACUUACAGAAGAAGCACCGGCUAACUCCGUGCCAGCAGCCGCGGUAAUACGGAGGGUGCGAGCGUUAAUCCGAAUUACUGGGCGUAAAGCGUACGCAGGCGGUUUGUUAAGCGAGAUGUGAAAGCCCCGGGCUCAACCUGGGAACUGCAUUUCGAACUGGCAAACUAGAGUAUGAUAGAGGGUGGUAGAAUUUCAGGUGUAGCGGUGAAAUGCGUAGAGAUUUGAAGGAAUACCGAUGGCGAAGGCAGCCACCUGGGUCAACACUGUCGCUCAUUACGAAG